CCUACGGGAGGCAGCAGUGGGGAAUAUUGCACAAUGGGCGAAACCCUGAUGCAGCGAUGCCGCGUGAGUGAAGAAGGAAUUCGUUACGUAAAGCACUAUCAGCAGGGAAGAAAGUGAUGGUACCUGAGAAAGAAGCCCCGGCUAACUACGUGCCAGCAGCCGCGGUAAUACGUAGGGUGCAAGCGUUAGCCGGAUUUACUGGGGGUAAAGGGAGCGUAGACGGUGCGCCAAGUCUGGUGUGAAAUCCCGCAGCUUAACCGGGGAACUGCUUUGGAAACUGGCGAACUAGAGUGCUGGAGGGGGAGGUAGAAUUCCAGGUGUAGCGGUGAAAUGCGUAGAGAUUAGGAGGAACACUGGUGGCGAAGGCGGCUUCCUGGACCGUAACUGACGUUGAGGCUCGAAAGCGUGGGGAGCAAACAGGAUUAGAUACCCGAGUAGUC
Molecule: ribosomal RNA, 440 nt
Filed under: uncultured bacterium
Lineage: Bacteria
Description: partial 16S ribosomal RNA
Rfam family: Bacterial small subunit ribosomal RNA
Source: RNAcentral